GCUGUAGCGCAGCCUGGUAGCGCACCUGCUUCGGGAGCAGGGGGUCGGAGGUUCGAAUC
Molecule: transfer RNA, 59 nt
Filed under: Sulfitobacter sp.
Lineage: Bacteria; Pseudomonadati; Pseudomonadota; Alphaproteobacteria; Rhodobacterales; Roseobacteraceae
Description: tRNA-Pro
Rfam family: tRNA
About the family: Transfer RNA (tRNA) molecules are approximately 80 nucleotides in length. Their secondary structure includes four short double-helical elements and three loops (D, anti-codon, and T loops).
Source: RNAcentral